Long non-coding RNA from Salvelinus sp. IW2-2015, 278 nucleotides. RefSeq lists it as uncharacterized. Lineage: Eukaryota; Metazoa; Chordata; Actinopteri; Salmoniformes; Salmonidae. The record is from RefSeq and is a predicted model, not a curated record.
GAGGGACAGACUUUUCUUUUUUUUACAUGAGAAGCUCACUUUCACGUUGAACUCGUCAUCUUUCUUCUCUUAUCAGCAGGAUAUAAUAUCGAGAGAAGGAAGUCCCAAAACACCUGUGCCUUACAGCAUGAACAGUGAUCGGUCCAUGUAUGAACCAAUAACGCUCAACAGUGGAAUCCGUACCUCUGUGAAAUGGAGCCAGCAGGCGGAGACAGAGUACUUGUUGUAUACAGUCGGCUCAGCAGACAGUGAGAUUGAUUUAUAUGGAUCUGGGCUUC